GACGAACGCUGGCGGCGUGCUUAACACAUGCAAGUCGAACGGAAAGGCCCUGCUCUUGUGGGGUGCUCGAGUGGCGAACGGGUGAGUAACACGUGAGUAACCUGCCCUUGACUUUGGGAUAACUUCAGGAAACUGGGGCGAAUACCGGAUAGGAGCUCCUGCUGCAUGGGGGGGGUUGGAAAGUUUCGGCGGUUGGGGCUGGUCUCGCGGGUUAUCGGCUUGUUGGUGGGGUAGUGGCUUGCCAAGGCUUUGACGGGUAGCCGGCCUGAGAGGGUGACCGGCCACCUUGGGACUGAGAUACGGCCCAGACUCCUACGGGAGGCAACAGGGGGGAAUAUUGCCCAAUGGGCGGAAGCUGGAUGCAGCAACGCCGCGUGCCGGAUGACGGCCUUCGGGUUGUAAACCGCUUUCGACUGUGACGAAGCGUGAGUGACGGUAAUGUGUAAAGAAGCACCGGCUAACUACGUG
This 468-nucleotide ribosomal RNA is filed under the name uncultured bacterium. Its description in RNAcentral is "partial 16S ribosomal RNA". It matches the Rfam family "Bacterial small subunit ribosomal RNA", at positions 28 to 507 of the family's 1533-position model. The record is from RNAcentral.